This 879-nucleotide ribosomal RNA is filed under the name Chinese Huanglongbing disease-associated phytoplasma. RNAcentral's name for it is "bacterial SSU rRNA". It matches the Rfam family "Bacterial small subunit ribosomal RNA", at positions 366 to 1254 of the family's 1533-position model. RNAcentral also lists the same sequence under 3 other names. Lineage: Bacteria; Bacillati; Mycoplasmatota; Mollicutes; Acholeplasmatales; Acholeplasmataceae. The record is from RNAcentral.
CGGCAAUGGAGGAAACUCUGACCGAGCAACGCCGCGUGAACGAUGAAGUAUUUCGGUACGUAAAGUUCUUUUAUUAGGGAAGAAUAAAUGAUGGAAAAAUCAUUCUGACGGUACCUAAUGAAUAAGCCCCGGCUAACUAUGUGCCAGCAGCCGCGGUAAUACAUAGGGGGCAAGCGUUAUCCGGAAUUAUUGGGCGUAAAGGGUGCGUAGGCGGUUAAAUAAGUUUAUGGUCUAAGUGCAAUGCUCAACAUUGUGAUGCUAUAAAAACUGUUUAGCUAGAGUAAGAUAGAGGCAAGUGGAAUUCCAUGUGUAGUGGUAAAAUGCGUAAAUAUAUGGAGGAACACCAGUAGCGAAGGCGGCUUGCUGGGUCUUUACUGACGCUGAGGCACGAAAGCGUGGGGAGCAAACAGGAUUAGAUACCCUGGUAGUCCACGCCGUAAACGAUGAGUACUAAACGUUGGGUAAAACCAGUGUUGAAGUUAACACAUUAAGUACUCCGCCUGAGUAGUACGUACGCAAGUAUGAAACUUAAAGGAAUUGACGGGACUCCGCACAAGCGGUGGAUCAUGUUGUUUAAUUCGAAGGUACCCGAAAAACCUCACCAGGUCUUGACAUGCUUCUGCAAAGCUGUAGAAACACAGUGGAGGUUAUCAGUUGCACAGGUGGUGCAUGGUUGUCGUCAGCUCGUGUCGUGAGAUGUUGGGUUAAGUCCCGCAACGAGCGCAACCCUUAUUGUUAGUUACCAGCACGUAAUGGUGGGGACUUUAGCAAGACUGCCAGUGAUAAAUUGGAGGAAGGUGGGGACGACGUCAAAUCAUCAUGCCCCUUAUGACCUGGGCUACAAACGUGAUACAAUGGCUGUUACAAAGAGUAGCUGAA